Non-coding RNA from Triticum urartu, 2773 nucleotides. The record is from RefSeq and is a predicted model, not a curated record. Lineage: Eukaryota; Viridiplantae; Streptophyta; Magnoliopsida; Poales; Poaceae.
CUAAACUUCUGUAGAAGUUAGUUGCUCAGGAUGGCUGUACGAGUUGCUUAAAAAAAUAAGAUGACAGAGGUACUACGCAUAGAUUUGAGGUUUGUUGAUUCUUAUCUAAAGGACCAUGCAUACAGCGGUCGAUCUCUAUAUAUGGGAUGUGACUGACUAGGAAGGUGAAGGACAGGAAAGCGUCACUUUGUUAGUUUCUGAAUCUUUCUGAAUUGAUGUUUGCAUGACUUAGUUGUUUGUUGUUGCCUAAAUAUUUAUUAGUGCACCUGCACUAAAUGGAGCCCCUGAGCGCACAGCCUGAUUAAAAUCGCGCUGCGCAGGUUGUUUCCUAUCGGAACUGACGUGCACGCGGGGGCGAGGGAGAUACCGUGUUAGAAGAGGCCGAUGAAUCAGCGUCCGUCUCACCUCAGGGUGGACACGGUCCGGGCCGGUCCAGUCCCAGACCGAGCCGCUGUUUGGACCGGCCGACGGCGAGCCGGACCGGACCGGACCGACCAGCCGAGCGGUCCUGUUUUCCUGCACCGGACCGAACAAGCAAAAGCCCGGUCUGGACCGACGGACCGACCAGCAACCCAUCGGCGGCGAGGUGGUGACCAUGUGGUCGACAAGAGAAGGCUGCUGGCCCACAUUCAGAAGGGGGAACCGAGUAGAAAGGUGCAGUGACUCACGACAAACUCGAUGGCGGGGUCGAGGAGGCCGGGGAAGCAGCUACGACGACGUAAUGGACGACGCAUGACGGCGGCUGGACUUGGGGAUGGAGGAUGAUGGUGACGGCUUUGGUGCCCAUUCGGCCGAUUCCUUGCACUAGGAAGUAGAUCUGAAGGUGGCGGAGCUACUGGACAAGGUGGUUCGUCGCGGGCAGGCCGACGGCCGUGCGUGCUGUGCGCCGGUGGCCCUCAAUGUUCUGCGCGGUGGCAUGCAUGCUCGGGCAAGGCAAGGUGGCACUGUAAGAGAGGAGAGGGGCGACGUCAACGAGUUGGGAGGGAUGGAGAGGAGAGAUCGGGCGAGUGGUGGGCCUAGUGACGACGGUGGCGGCGCUCGCCGGUGGGAUGGGAGAGGGAUAAGGCGCCGUCACCGCCCGCCUUGAACUGGACGAGGACCGGGUCAAGUAUUCUCUCUCUUCCUUCUCUCUCUCUAUGCGGUGCGUGCCCUAGUUAACAGAUGUUGGAGCUGGACUGGGCCAAGAUUCGGUCCGCUCGGUUAGCCCGGUUAAAAACAGGACCGGACCGAAGCUUUAUCGGGCCUGAUUCCUGAGCUCGGACCGACCAACUUUUUUGACGAUCCAGGACCGUACGGUCCGGUCCUUAACGGGCCGCGAGCCGGGCCAAAAGCCCGCUCGUCACGUCCAGGCUGAGUCUCACCCACCCACCAUCCUGACACGUUCUCCUCUCUCUCUCUCUCUCUCUCUCUCUCUCCUAUCCGUCGUUCUCGAAACUGCCUGAGAAGAGAGAGGGUUUGAGAAGAUGGAGCGCCCCGAACUCGAGACUGAGUGGGGGGCGGAGGUACCACCAACCGGAGGAGGGGAGCGGGGGGCAGCUCUCCGUCCGCGCCGCGACCGCAAAACUGAAGGACCGAGGGCCAGAGUGCCGCCCGUGCCGUGACCACCAAGCGGAGGAGCAAGGGCCGGAGUGCCCGUCCCAAAGCACUCUGGCGACGAUGAGACAUGACGCGAGGGUGUUUGUUCUUCUGUUCUUGCCGAAACUGAAACUGAAACGCUGUGCAUGCCAAACUUCAGAAAGCAUGUACGCGGAGAACACCAGUACAUAUUCCAAGAACAGGGGUAAAGCACGGUAUGCUCGGCCAGAAGAAAUGCCCAACAAGAUCAAGGGCCUCAAGGGCAGGGUAAGGCGGGACAAACAGGGAAGCAAGGAUAGCUAUUAAAUAGUUUUUGCAGCAAAUUAAACGGGGAAGGAAGGAUAGCGGGACAAACGGGGUUGCAAACGAGGGAGAGGGGCGGAUUUUGUACUACGGCGAGUGGCUUCUCUUGCGAUCGUCAUGGCUGAUAUGGGGAUUGAAGGGGGGUGGCUAGCGUUGGAUUCAUAGGGAAACUUUUCACUCUAGGGGCAGAGCAGUUGCUUGGAUUUUUGCUAUAAGAGUUGCAGUUUCUUAGUUUUGUUGGGGCAGUUCCUUGGAUUUAUUUUGAAUAGUUUUUGCAUUUGUGGUUUUUGUAAUGCAGUUGCUUGGUUUUGCUAGCGCAAUUGCUUGGAUUUUUUUCUAGAACUGUUUUGCAUUUUGUGUUUUUUUGUAAUUGCAUUGCUUGGUUAUUGCUAGAACAGAGAAGACACCCGGAGGGGAGGGGGUGGGUGUUAGAUAGUUAUCAAUAUCAUACAUUUUUCCUCUGCGUAAAGUAGAUAAUCUAAGUAGUAAUGCUACCACGGUUGCUUGGUUUUGUUAGGACAGUUGCUUGGAUUUGUGCCAGAACAGUUUUGCAUCUGUGUUUUUGCUAGGUGGAGGGCGGCAAGGUGUGUGAUAGGGCGUGUAGCGGGAAGAUGAAGGUGGUGGGCGGCGAGGCAAGAGAGAGGAAGCGUGUGGGGGUGGACGAAGGUGGAGGGCACUACCCAAGUUAUGAUUGGAGUUGCACAAUAUGUCGGAAGGAGUUGCAUAGGAGUGGAUCGGAAGUGGCUCAUUUUUCCUUUUUUGUUUGUCGAGUGGAUUUGCCCAAUAUUUUUUAUAAGUAUUUAGGUGCUCUUCUUGAUUGGAUAGGUUGGUUCGGACUAGUGUUCUUUUUGCCCUGCUAAUCUUGGUUGCAUAUGUUAGUUAAGACUUUCCUUUG